Scophthalmus maximus (turbot) is the source of this 767-nucleotide long non-coding RNA. RefSeq lists it as uncharacterized. Lineage: Eukaryota; Metazoa; Chordata; Actinopteri; Pleuronectiformes; Scophthalmidae. The transcript has 2 exons. The record is from RefSeq and is a predicted model, not a curated record.
UCAGUCUUUCUUAAGCCUCAAACCGACGGUGAAGUCAAACUGGGAACAAACUGGGAAUAAUCAUCAGCCAAUCAGAAUCAGUCGUGUGCUUCUGGAUGAUGAUGGUGAACUCGGUCCAGAGGCUGAUGAUGGUGGGAAACGUUUCUGUGUUGACUUUGACUCGUCCCAAAACAAAUCCUGACGCAGACGAGGAAGAAGAUUUACAGCAAACCUGCGAGAAACAAGAUCGGAGCUACGCAAAGUUUCUUCGUCAUGUUGGUUUUUUCUGCUGCGAUGUUGAUUCCAGCUGCUUGGAUCCUUCAUCACCUGCCAGAGUACAGACAGAGGUCAAGGGAGGUCAUGCCUUCAUCUUCAUCACCUUCAUCAUAGUCUUCAUCACCUGCCAGAGUACAGACAGAGGUCAAGAGAGGUCACGCCUUCAUCUUCAUCACCUUCAUCAUAGUCUUCAUCACCUGCCAGAGUACAGACAGAGAGAGAGAGCGAGGGAGAUAGAGAGAGAGAGAGGGAGGACGAGAGAGAGAGAGAGAGAGAGAGGGAGGGAGGGAGGGAGGGACAGAGACAGAGACAGAGGGAGACUUCCAUGUAAAUGUAUAGGAUAAAUGUCUUGUUUCAUAAUGAAUAUUGUAUGUAAUCAAUGAACAUUAUUAGUCGACACAGAACCUCAGAUCUGUUCUUUCCAGUUGUUCUUCUUGUGAACAUGUGACUCAGAACAAACAGGAAGUGUUUGUUGUUUGAAGAAGAAAUAAAAUCUGUAGUUUGUGUUUUAA